UGAUGGCAGGAGACUCAUUCAUGUGGCCAGCUCAGUGCCUGCUCAUGGGCAUGAUCUUUGCUACUCUUGCUAAAAACAGAAGAUUGAUCCAGCCCGGUCACCAGGAGCAGGCAAUGGGCCAGGACCCUCUUUGGUCCCCACCUCUGAUGAAUUAGCUAGCUCACUUGGAAUAGAACUUAGCCAGAUAGCCUAACCUGACUGCAAAGGAGAUUGGGAAAUGGAGAGAAGCCCAUGAAGAUCUGGGCAAUGGCCAAAGGAUAUGGACCGGAGAGAGAGAACCAACAGUUACGUCAACUAUGUGUCAGGUGUUUUAUAAAUAUAAUUUCAUUUCAUCCCAGAGCAAUCUUGGGGAGCUGUGAGUCC
Molecule: long non-coding RNA, 363 nt
Organism: Zalophus californianus (California sea lion)
Lineage: Eukaryota; Metazoa; Chordata; Mammalia; Carnivora; Otariidae
Exons: 4
Source: RefSeq, a predicted model, not a curated record